UACGUAGGGGGCUAGCGUUGUCCGGAAUCAUUGGGCGUAAAGCGCGUGUAGGCGGCCCGGUAAGUCCGCUGUGAAAGUCCAGGGCUCAACCCUGGGAUGCCGGUGGAUACUGUCGGGCUCGAGUCCGGAAGAGGCGAGUGGAAUUCCUGGUGUAGCGGUGAAAUGCGCAGAUAUCAGGGAGAACACCCGUGGCGAAGGCGGCUCUCUGGGACGGUACUGACGCUGAGACGCGAAAGCGUGGGGAGCGAACGGG
RNAcentral lists this ribosomal RNA (253 nucleotides) under uncultured bacterium. Its description in RNAcentral is "partial 16S ribosomal RNA". It matches the Rfam family "Bacterial small subunit ribosomal RNA", at positions 524 to 776 of the family's 1533-position model. The record is from RNAcentral.